RNAcentral lists this non-coding RNA (31 nucleotides) under Rattus norvegicus (Norway rat). Lineage: Eukaryota; Metazoa; Chordata; Mammalia; Rodentia; Muridae. The record is from RNAcentral.
UGGGCAGCCGACAUGACAGACAGAUGCUCCU